Molecule: ribosomal RNA, 278 nt
Filed under: Enterobacter hormaechei subsp. hoffmannii MRSN 11248
Lineage: Bacteria; Pseudomonadati; Pseudomonadota; Gammaproteobacteria; Enterobacterales; Enterobacteriaceae
Description: partial 16S ribosomal RNA
Rfam family: Bacterial small subunit ribosomal RNA
Source: RNAcentral
ACUUAAAUUGAAGAGUUUGAUCAUGGCUCAGAUUGAACGCUGGCGGCAGGCCUAACACAUGCAAGUCGAACGGUAACAGGAAGCAGCUUGCUGCUUCGCUGACGAGUGGCGGACGGGUGAGUAAUGUCUGGGAAACUGCCUGAUGGAGGGGGAUAACUACUGGAAACGGUAGCUAAUACCGCAUAACGUCGCAAGACCAAAGAGGGGGACCUUCGGGCCUCUUGCCAUCGGAUGUGCCCAGAUGGGAUUAGCUAGUAGGUGGGGUAACGGCUCACCUA